This 465-nucleotide ribosomal RNA is filed under the name uncultured bacterium. RNAcentral's name for it is "partial 16S ribosomal RNA". It matches the Rfam family "Bacterial small subunit ribosomal RNA", at positions 28 to 507 of the family's 1533-position model. The record is from RNAcentral.
GACGAACGCUGGCGGCGUGCUUAACACAUGCAAGUCGAACGGAAAGGCCCUGCUUGCAGGGUACUCGAGUGGCGAACGGGUGAGUAACACGUGGGUGAUCUGCCCUGCACUUCGGGAUAAGCCUGGGAAACUGGGUCUAAUACCGGAUAGGAGCCAUUUUUAGUGUGAUGGUUGGAAAGUUUUUUCGGUGUAGGAUGAGCUCGCGGCCUAUCAGCUUGUUGGUGGGGUAAUGGCCUACCAAGGCGGCGACGGGUAGCCGGCCUGAGAGGGUGGACGGCCACAUUGGGACUGAGAUACGGCCCAGAAUCCUACGGGAGGCAGCAGUGGGGAAUAUUGCACAAUGGGCGCAAGCCUGAUGCAGCGACGCCGCGUGGGGGAGGACGGCCUUCGGGUUGUAAACUCCUUUCGCUAGGGACGAAGCUUUUUGUGACGGUACCUAGAUAAGAAGCACCGGCUAACUACGUG